UACGGGGGGGGCGAGCGUUGUUCGGAAUUACUGGGCGUAAAGGGUUUGUAGGUGGCCUGCUAAGUCAGACGUGAAAUCCCUCAGCUUAACUGGGGAACUGCGUCUGAUACUGGCGGGCUUGAGGACAGGAGAGGAACGCGGAAUUCCAGGUGUAGCGGUGAAAUGCGUAGAUAUCAGGAGGAACACCGGUGGUGUAAACGGCUUUCUGGACCAUAACUGACGCUGAGGCACGAAAGCGUGGGUAGCAAACAGG
RNAcentral lists this ribosomal RNA (253 nucleotides) under uncultured bacterium. Its description in RNAcentral is "partial 16S ribosomal RNA". It matches the Rfam family "Bacterial small subunit ribosomal RNA", at positions 524 to 776 of the family's 1533-position model. The record is from RNAcentral.